RNAcentral lists this ribosomal RNA (459 nucleotides) under uncultured bacterium. Its description in RNAcentral is "partial 16S ribosomal RNA". It matches the Rfam family "Bacterial small subunit ribosomal RNA", at positions 338 to 795 of the family's 1533-position model. The record is from RNAcentral.
CCUACGGGUGGCUGCAGUGAGGAAUAUUGGUCAAUGGGCGCGAGCCUGAACCAGCCAAGUCGCGUGAAGGAUGACUGCCCUACGGGUUGUAAACUUCUUUUAUAAAAGAAUAAACUGAGACACGUGUGCCUUUCUGUAUGUACUUUAUGAAUAAGGAUCGGCUAACUCCGUGCCAGCAGCCGCGGUAAUACGGAGGAUGCGAGCGUUAUCCGGAUUUAUUGGGUUUAAAGGGUGCGUAGGCGGAGCGUUAAGUCAGUGGUAAAAUGCGGGGGCUCAACCCCUACACGCCAUUGAGACUGGCGGGCUUGAGGGGAAGAGAGGUAUGCGGAAUGCGUGGUGUAGCGGUGAAAUGCAUAGAGAUCACACAGAACCCCGAUUGCGAAGGCAGCAUACCGGGUUCCUACUGACGCUGAGGCACGAAAGCGUGGGGAGCGAACAGGAUUAGAUACCCGAGUAGUC